UUUUAAAUGGCCGCAGUAUUUUGACUGUGCAAAGGUAGCAUAAUCAUUAGUUUUUUAAUUAAAAGCUUGUAUGAAAGGCUGGACGAGGUAAAAUCUGUCUCUAUUUAAAUUAAAAUAGAAUUUAACUUUUAAGUUAAAAGGCUUAAAUAUUAUUAAAAGACGAGAAGACCCUAUAGAUCUUUAUAAUUUAUUAAAUUAAAUUAAUUUAGAAAUAUUAAUGUUUUAUUUGAUUAAAUUAUUUUAUUGGGGUAAUAAAAAGAUUGAAUUAAUUCUUUUUUAUAAUAAACAUUAAUUUAUGAAUAUUGAUGAUCCAGUUUUAUUGAUUAUAAGAUUAAGUUACCUUAGGGAUAACAGCGUAAUUUUUUUAGAGAGUUCAUAUCGAUAAAAAAGUUUGCGACCUCGAUGUUGGAUUAAAGAUUAUUUUAGGUGUAGAAGCUUAAUAAUUUUGGUCUGUUCGACCAUUAAAUCUUUACAUGAUCUGAGUUCAGACCGGCGUAAGCCAGGUCGGUUUCUAUCUUUAAUAAAACAAAAUAUUUUAGUACGAAAGGACCAAAUAUUUGAUAUAUUUAUAUUUAAUUUAUUGAAUAUUA
Molecule: ribosomal RNA, 590 nt
Filed under: Carabus macrocephalus cantabricus
Lineage: Eukaryota; Metazoa; Arthropoda; Insecta; Coleoptera; Carabidae
Description: partial large subunit ribosomal RNA
Rfam family: Bacterial large subunit ribosomal RNA
Source: RNAcentral